RNAcentral lists this ribosomal RNA (403 nucleotides) under uncultured bacterium. Its description in RNAcentral is "partial 16S ribosomal RNA". It matches the Rfam family "Bacterial small subunit ribosomal RNA", at positions 30 to 526 of the family's 1533-position model. The record is from RNAcentral.
AUUGAACGCUGGCGGCAGGCCUAACACAUGCAAGUCGAGCGAGCGGCGGACGGGUGAGUAAUGUAUGGGGACUGCCCGAUAGAGGGGGAUAACUACUGGAAACGGUAGCUAAUACCGCAUACUAUCGGAUAACCCAUAUGGGAUUAGCUAGUAGGUGAGGUAAUGGCUCACCUAGACGACGAUCCCUAGCUGGUCUGAGAGGAUGAUCAGCCACACUGGGACUUAGACACGGCCCAGACUCCUACGGAGGCAGCAGUGGGGAAUAUUGGACAAUGGGGGCAACCCUGAUGCAGCCAUCCCGCGUGUAUGAAGAAGGCCUUAGGGUUGUAAAGUACUUUUAGCCGAGAGGCGUUAUCCGCAGAAGAAGCACCGGCUAACUCCGUGCCAGCAGCCGCGGUAAUAC